Long non-coding RNA from Mauremys mutica (yellowpond turtle), 205 nucleotides. RefSeq lists it as uncharacterized. The record is from RefSeq and is a predicted model, not a curated record. Lineage: Eukaryota; Metazoa; Chordata; Testudines; Geoemydidae. The transcript is spliced from 3 exons.
AGGGGAAGUGUCAGAAGCCAGCCAGUGAAUUCCUGCAGGACAUCAGAAGCACCUUGAGCAGAUGUGAGAAGGGGACGUUCCAGCAGCCAGAAGAGAUUUCUCCUGAACUGGAAGAGCAAGUCAGUGGUUUCUCCCAGAAAACUAUUGCACUACUGGAGGCUCUGAGGAAGUUCAAAGGUACCUAGAAGGAAUCUCGGAGGGGAAA